GAUCUGCCCUCCUUCAGUAUAGGGACGAAAGCAUGCGCCAGAACUCACAGGGUGAUUUAAAACGUUAAACAUAUAGUGAGCGGACAAAACGAUCAAAGAUCCGACUCUCACUGGCUAAGGUCCGAGCGGGAAGUGCAAUCCGGGGAGUCUCGCUUCUAGGGAGCGCGUCAAGACGCCAGGCUGAUUAAGCGCUACCUGGCCCGAGGUGGGGCACCGGAAGGCCAGGAGACUGAUACACCGGCCAGAUCAAGUUUGAAAUGCAAGCCGCCGCCACUUGGCCCCAAUUAGAGGCCAAACCUUUUAUGUAAACAAGGAAUAAUUAGCUUUGGUAAUAGAAGCGUAAACAGAAUCAUCAUCCAUUGAUUUGCUAAUUGCCCUCCCGUCCCAUGACAAUAGCCAGCAUUCUGCUGUAGGUCGGACAGACCCUGUGCACCAGAGGACAGCCAGUUAUACUCCCAGUUGCAAGACAUCUGGGAAGUUGCCGGAGGCCAGUAUGCCCGUAGGAGUUUAUGGGCAUAUCCAGGUUGCAGGGCAUGGAAUCCAACAAAAACAUUAACGGGACUUGGUGGCGAUACAAUGCUACCAGCACCAGCACAGGAAGAACAGAAAUGAUGUUUUGUGGGAGAAGCCAAGAAAAUGACCUGUGGAUCUCAGUGGGAUUUAAAGCCAGUUGUGAUCAGCCCCGUGAUGUGAACAGAAUGAGCUGAAGCUCAUAGAACCCAUCUCCUCACCUGCUGUGUCCAGCACUGACCAAGGCUUUGGUCUAGCACUGGUCUAAGACAAGUUAUCCGUGCAAAGUAACAAGCUCCAGGAAUCCGGAGGUCCCACCUACACACAGGACAAGACUUCUUGGUUCCGCUGAGGAAGUUCCUACGUUUAGGAUCUCAGAUGAUGGCCAGGCUCCCAGAGGAGUGGCCCGGGGUGUUUUGAUGAGCUCUCCAACGGCCCAGUGCUAGAUGCUCCACAUGCUGGCUCCUGAGCAGUUCUAGACAGAGGCCUGCCCUCCCCCUGAGUCCAGAGGAACUCCGUCUUGGCCUAGAGCAACAUGGAAACUUCUGGAAGGAGAAGGGCUUGAGAAAUGACCAGUGGUCUUGGAACUCAAAGCUCACUGUUUUCCACUCAGGUCAAGAGGCAAUGGUCUCAGGAGCACUCGGCAAAUUCAGACACUUGUGCCCAGUUUAUCAUGGAAGGAGCUAGGCCUGCUGGGCCCUCAUGUAUCCAAUUCCUAGAACUCUCAAAGAACUGCUCCCAUCAUGGGAACCCAUGGACCUGGACCGGAACCGCUCACCCUGGUGCCUUGGCAGUUAACUUGUGACAAAGCAAAGGAGAGAAUUAAAUGAAGAU
Molecule: long non-coding RNA, 1344 nt
Organism: Fukomys damarensis (Damara mole-rat)
Lineage: Eukaryota; Metazoa; Chordata; Mammalia; Rodentia; Bathyergidae
Exons: 5
Source: RefSeq, a predicted model, not a curated record